Molecule: long non-coding RNA, 1224 nt
Organism: Lagenorhynchus albirostris (white-beaked dolphin)
Lineage: Eukaryota; Metazoa; Chordata; Mammalia; Artiodactyla; Delphinidae
Exons: 3
Source: RefSeq, a predicted model, not a curated record
GCUGCCUGGGGGAGGGUGAGUUUCCCCAGGCUCAGAUUGUUCACUGGUAAUCUGAUCAUAAGGGGCUGGGCUGGUCUUCAGGCCAUCUGGUCCUACCCCUCAUCUUCCUGUUGACCAAGCUGAUUCUGCAAGAGGCAAGGUGGCUGCUGGAGGGUGUCCUCCCUUCCUCCAGGGGCAGAGCCAGGAUGACAGCCUGAGUGAUGGGACCUUGUGAUGGAGCCUACACUGAGCAGCAUGCAUUUUACUUGUAAUCAGAAAGAAAUCUAGCUAUUUCUCCGAAAGAAGUCCCUGUAUUGAGGAUUCAGAUCUAAGAAGAGUGAGCCCCCAGGAGGGUGGGCAGGUUGCACGCGGAGACCCGGAAACCCCGGACGUGAAAGCGGCCACUGGAAAAUUUCAUAUUUUGUAUGGGGUUCAUAUUCUCUUUCUACUGGAUGGCACUGAGUCAGUGGGAAUCAGCUGGAGAGAGAACAGCCCUUUGGUUGGAGAGAGCCAGUAAUUGGACCCAGACCUGGAGGAGACUUUGAGGCAAACGGGAGCUCAACUGCUUCGUGUGAGAAAGGAGAAGAGAAAGUAACAGACUAGGAAGAGGACAGGCAAGUGUGGCCCGGGGCUGGGUUUCAGGGGACAGAGAAAACGAAGAGAGGAUGGGAGGGAAGCCCAGGAACACGACAGUAGCCAGAGACCAGGGAACAGGUGGCUGAGGAAGGACUCCCCAAGCCCCUGGGGCAGGGCCAGCAGUGAGUUUUGCCAGCAGUGAGGUCAGCUGAUAAAUUUUAAAUGGGUUACUGAUCUAUGCCAUGAUACUCCUCUGCUGUCCCUACACCCCAAGGACAGACCGUGUGGGGCUGGGGACGCCGUGUCCCUGCUUGGACAUCAGGGCUGGGUGAGGACGGUGAUGUGCCAGGCAGUGGCCCGAGAGCCCAAGGGGAGGAGGGAAAGUGAGGAACAAGGGUGCCGGACGAGGGGUCAGGCAAGGACGACGUGACAGGUACCCAGAAAUGCUUGGAAGGAUCCCCAAGAGCCCUGAGCUGCUGCUGGCAGGGAGGUGCAAGGCAGCUGAAGAUUUUCACUUGGUUUUGAAGGGAAGGAUCUCCCCAGCCGGCUGGCCGACACUGGGACCCUUCGCCACAUUACGCAGGGCGUUGUAAUACCCUCUGGGGUGCUGGGCAGCAGCGGCUGAGAAGUUUGGUGGCAGUGCUGGCGGGGAAGGUGGGGAAGUGGAAC